GAUGAACGCUGGCGGCGUGCCUAAUACAUGCAAGUCGAGCGAACGGACGAGAAGCUUGCUUCUCUGAUGUUAGCGGCGGACGGGUGAGUAACACGUGGAUAACCUACCUAUAAGACUUGGAUAACUUCGGGAAACCGGAGCUAAUACCGGAUAAUAUUUUGAACCGCAUGGUUCAAAAGUGAAAGACGGUCUUGCUGUCACUUAUAGAUGGAUCCGCGCUGCAUUAGCUAGUUGGUAAGGUAACGGCUUACCAAGGCAACGAUGCAUAGCCGACCUGAGAGGGGGAUCGGCCACACUGGAACUGAGACACGGUCCAGACUCCUACGGGAGGCAGCAGUAGGGAAUCGUCCGCAGUGGGCGAAAGCCUGACGGAGCAACGCCGCGUGAGUGAUGAAGGUCUUCGGAUCGUAAAACUCUGUUAUUAGGGAAGAACAUAUGUGUAAGUAACUGUGCACAUCUUGACGGUACCUAAUCAGAAAGCCACGGCUAACUACGUG
Molecule: ribosomal RNA, 497 nt
Filed under: uncultured bacterium
Lineage: Bacteria
Description: partial 16S ribosomal RNA
Rfam family: Bacterial small subunit ribosomal RNA
Source: RNAcentral